GAUGAAGAACGCAGCGAAAUGCGAUACGUAAUGUGAAUUGCAGAAUUCAGUGAAUCAUCGAAUCUUUGAACGCAUAUUGCGCUCUCUGGUAUUCCGGAGAGCAUGCUUGUUUGAGUAUCAGUAAACACCUCAACUCCCUUUCUUCUUGAAAUGGAGCUGGACUUGAGUGAUCCCAACGCUUUAUUCAUAAAGUGGCGGGUUACUUGAAAUGCAGGUGCAGCUGGACUUUUCUCUGAGCUAUAAGCAUAUCUAUUUAGUCUGCCUCAAAACAGAUUAUUACCUUUGCUGCAGCUAACAUAAAGGAGAUUAGUUCUUGUGCUGACUGAUGCAGGAUUCACAAAGACCGCUUCGGCUGUCUUUGUAAACUCGAUCUCAAAUCAAGUAAGACUACCCGCUGAACUUAAGCAUAUCAAGCGGAGGA
Molecule: unclassified non-coding RNA, 421 nt
Filed under: soil metagenome
Description: partial contains 5.8S ribosomal RNA, internal transcribed spacer 2, and large subunit ribosomal RNA
Rfam family: 5.8S ribosomal RNA (bases 1-120)
Source: RNAcentral